GAUGGAAAAAACUCUGUUAUAGUCCUAGCCUUCACAACCUCCUUAGACUGAAUUCCUGGAGUGGGCUUUAUUUGGAUCUACCCUUGACAGUCAUCAGAGAGAACAGAAUGCAAUGGUUCAGUCUCAGAGAGAACACUUUCACUGCAGAUUUGACAAAUGCAAAGAAGGUA
Chrysemys picta bellii (western painted turtle) is the source of this 170-nucleotide long non-coding RNA. RefSeq lists it as uncharacterized. The record is from RefSeq and is a predicted model, not a curated record. NCBI's taxonomy places the organism in Eukaryota, Metazoa, Chordata, Testudines, Emydidae.